AGCGAACGCUGGCGGCAGGCCUAACACAUGCAAGUCGAACGGAGCCUUCGGGCUUAGUGGCGGACGGGUGAGUAACACGUGGGAACGUACCUUUAGGUUCGGAACAACUCAGGGAAACUUGAGCUAAUACCGGAUAAGCCCUUCGGGGGAAAGAUUUAUCGCCUUUAGAGCGGCCCGCGUUAGAUUAGCUAGUUGGUGAGGUUAAGGCUCACCAAGGCUACGAGCUAUAGCUGGUCUGAGAGGAUGAUCAGCCACACUGGGACUGAGACCCGGCCCAGACUCCUACGGGGGGCAGCAGUGGGGAAUCUUGCGCACUGGGCGAAAGCCUGACGCAGCCAUGCCGCGUGAAUGAUGAAGGUCUUAGGAUUGUAAAAUUCUUUUACCAGGGACGAUAAUGACGGUACCUGGAGAAAAAGCCCCGGCUAACUUCGUGCCAGCAGCCGCGGUAA
Molecule: ribosomal RNA, 449 nt
Filed under: uncultured bacterium
Lineage: Bacteria
Description: partial 16S ribosomal RNA
Rfam family: Bacterial small subunit ribosomal RNA
Source: RNAcentral